Molecule: long non-coding RNA, 363 nt
Organism: Cucumis melo (muskmelon)
Lineage: Eukaryota; Viridiplantae; Streptophyta; Magnoliopsida; Cucurbitales; Cucurbitaceae
Exons: 2
Source: RefSeq, a predicted model, not a curated record
AUGUUAUUUAACUUCAUUCUUUUAACCUUAUUUUGAAUGCAAUGUUGAUAAUUUGUGAUUUCAGAGAAGGCUCGAUGACAUACAAGCAAUUUAUGCAAGAACUUGAAGAUGAGAUACUGCCUGCUGAAGCUUAGCGCAUGUUGAGAGACAAAUAUCAUCCAACCAAGUGUUGCACAGUUAUAGUUGAUUGAUUUUGAGGUUGAUACCGGAUCGUUGUAGGAAUGUAACCUUUUGAUGUAACUUCGUACUUAUAACUUUAGAACUAACUUUAUACAUCCAUUUACUACUUAAUUGUAACUUCAUACUUGUAACUUAGAUUGACAUUACUGUAACUCUUUAUGAAAUUAUCGAAGUUUCUUGAUA